Long non-coding RNA from Bufo bufo (common toad), 894 nucleotides. RefSeq lists it as uncharacterized. The transcript is spliced from 3 exons. NCBI's taxonomy places the organism in Eukaryota, Metazoa, Chordata, Amphibia, Anura, Bufonidae. The record is from RefSeq and is a predicted model, not a curated record.
CACCUGGCUCCCUUAAACAGGUACCUGUCACCGGUGAGAAACAGACUGUCACUUGUACAUUGUACUCUACGGCUCAGCACCAGAGGCUAAUGCGGAGAGACAGGAAACUGGCAACAUGGUCUGAUUAAUACUGAGCGCCUGCAACUACGUGGCAGUGAAAAUUGGAAGUCUGUGUCGAAACAAUGAAGAUCAGGAACCUCCAACCCCUUAUUCAUGUCCAGUGUCGGCAAAGGCAAAACCUAAUGAACCUCCAGUGAAGACCACAGCACCAGAAGUAAAGACCCCAAAACAAGAUGAACCAGCUCGGCAAUGCAGAUCCUGAGGGUAGUGGCACCAAGUCACAUGACUUGGCCGAAACACCUCCAUCUCCUACACCUGGAUUCAUGGUCUUCAUGCUCUGCUCCAAAUCCAUCGGAAACUAUAGUGUCAAAGCUCAAGAACAUACAAUUUAAUGCUGAUACAAUAACGACCCGUCUUCUUAGAACUUUACCUUACCUUGUAUGACCUUUAACUUUGAAAUGUAGCUGCAGUUCAGGGACGUCAAUUAAUUCCAUGUCACCGGUGAGAUAAUGAUCGUUUCCCUUCAAGACAUUUCAAGACAUUUUCUCCUUAUAACUAGUUUGGUAAGAAAGAAGGAAGCCUGAAAAGUAAAGGACACAAUCAUUAUCUCACUGCUGUCCUGAUCAUAUCAAUGUACAGUAUAGAAAAAAACUGAUUUCACUGCAGUCUGCCCCACCUUAGUUGUAUCGUAUCACACGCCCACAUCAAAAUAGGACGCAAUAUACAACAGAGCGAUAUAAAAUUGCAAAUGCCGUACUAGGAAAAAGCAAGCAUGGCUGCAACUAACUGGAAAAGACAAGUAUUUUGUCAACGCUGCCACUGGGGUUAAUUGUA